ACGGAGGAGGCAAGCGUUAUCCGGAUUUAUUGGGCUUAAAGCGCGUGCAGGCUGUUUGGAAAGUUGGAUGUGAAAGCUCCUGGCUUAACUGGGAGAGGGCGUUCAAAACUACCAAACUAGAGAAUGGGAGAGGGAAGUGGAAUGCCGGGUCUAUUGGUGAAAUGCGUAUGUCUCCCUCCUCCCUCCGUUCUCUUCCCCCUCUUCCUUCUUCUUUUCUCCCUCUCUUCUUCUUUUUUUUUUUUUUUUCUCUC
RNAcentral lists this ribosomal RNA (251 nucleotides) under uncultured prokaryote. RNAcentral describes it as "partial 16S rRNA". It matches the Rfam family "Bacterial small subunit ribosomal RNA", at positions 525 to 733 of the family's 1533-position model. The record is from RNAcentral.